RNAcentral lists this transfer RNA (69 nucleotides) under Andrena camellia. RNAcentral's name for it is "tRNA-Ser". Lineage: Eukaryota; Metazoa; Arthropoda; Insecta; Hymenoptera; Andrenidae. The record is from RNAcentral.
AGUUAAUGAGUCUGAAUAUAGACAUAUAUUUUGAAAAUAUAAAAUAGAAAUAACAACUUCUAUUAACUU